GAUUCGGUAGCUCAGUCGGUAGAGCAGCGGCCUUUUAAGCCGUGGGUCGAGGGUUCAAGUCCCUCCCGAGUCA
RNAcentral lists this transfer RNA (73 nucleotides) under Fibrobacterota bacterium. RNAcentral describes it as "Fibrobacteres bacterium tRNA-Lys". It matches the Rfam family "tRNA". From Rfam's summary of the family: Transfer RNA (tRNA) molecules are approximately 80 nucleotides in length. Their secondary structure includes four short double-helical elements and three loops (D, anti-codon, and T loops). Further hydrogen bonds mediate the characteristic L-shaped molecular structure. tRNAs have two regions of fundamental functional importance: the anti-codon, which is responsible for specific mRNA codon recognition, and the 3' end, to which the tRNAs corresponding amino acid is attached (by aminoacyl-tRNA synthetases). tRNAs cope with the degeneracy of the genetic code in two manners: having more than one tRNA (with a specific anti-codon) for a particular amino acid; and 'wobble' base-pairing, i.e. permitting non-standard base-pairing at the 3rd anti-codon position. Lineage: Bacteria; Pseudomonadati; Fibrobacterota. RNAcentral also lists the same sequence under 1 other name. The record is from RNAcentral.